GAUGAACGCUGGCGGCGUGCCUAAUACAUGCAAGUCGAGCGAACAGACGAGGAGCUUGCUCCUCUGACGUUAGCGGCGGACGGGUGAGUAACACGUGGAUAACCUACCUAUAAGACUGGGAUAACUUCGGGAAACCGGAGCUAAUACCGGAUAAUAUAUUGAACGGCAUGUUUAAAUAGUGAAAGACGGUUUUGCUGUCACUUAUAGAUGGAUCCGCGCCGCAUUAGCUAGUUGGUAAGGUAACGGCUUACCAAGGCAACGAUGCGUAGCCGACCUGAGAGGGUGAUCGGCCACACUGGAACUGAGACACGGUCCAGACUCCUACGGGAGGCAGCAGUAGGGAAUCUUCCGCAAUGGGCGAAAGCCUGACGGAGCAACGCCGCGUGAGUGAUGAAGGUCUUCGGAUCGUAAAACUCUGUUAUUAGGGAAGAACAAAUGUGUAAGUAACUAUGCACGUCUUGACGGUACCUAAUCAGAAAGCCACGGCUAACUACGUG
RNAcentral lists this ribosomal RNA (497 nucleotides) under uncultured bacterium. Its description in RNAcentral is "partial 16S ribosomal RNA". It matches the Rfam family "Bacterial small subunit ribosomal RNA", at positions 28 to 507 of the family's 1533-position model. The record is from RNAcentral.